GGCCUAAUGACUUGGGAGGUUCUGUCACACAUAUAAUGACUCAUGGUACAGAAACAAAUGUCACAUCUUCAAUAUAUAAUGGAGUUCUGUACAAAAUAGUUAAAUAGUUGCAUCAUACGAAGACAACGAUCCAGCAACCAAAGUUGACUGGGAGACGAUGGCCUAGACCACUCACAAACUCAUCACAGCGUCCUUCACGCACCUCAUCCAGUGGUACCUAUCCUUGACCUGGGGGGAUGUGAGUACAGCAAGGGUGAGCUCACAUACGUUCAUCGCUCAACAAGUUGUGGGGAAUAAUGUGCAUGAACUCACCAAAGGUGGGAGCUCAUGUGAAGUGUAAGGCUUACCAAAGGAGAUGGUUAAAGUUGAGCAUUGCUUUUAAAUUUGGUCAAAAUUUUAUUAGCAGUUAAUAAGUAUAAGUAGAUACCAACCCCAAAUAAGUAAGAGAUCAAAUUAAUAACAACACCCACAAUGCAAUGCAUAUGAAAAAUUAAGUUUAGUUCCACAGAUUAAUCAUGCGAGAGUCCUGAGCUGCUCAUGACCGCGAGCACGACUGAUAUACCAGUUUUACACUCUGCAGAGGUUGCGCCCUUUACCCACAAGUCGUGUAUCCCGUCUAGCCAGGGUUAGCUAGACCCUUAGACACUUUCGAGGUGAAUGGCUAGGGAUCCACUACGAGGCCUUUACAAAGUUCCACUAGCUUCAGAAACCCCGCUACAGUUUCUAGGAAGGGCAAUAUAGGAAUCCCUCGUCCAAAAAGCCAUCGCAGCAUGAUCGACCCGAGAACCUCCCUAUACUUAACUCCCCUACUAUCCUUGCCUCUUUCGGGUAAGGUAGUCCUCCACUAGCUUUCCUAAUUAGUCGGCCAAGGGAAUCCCAUUCCACCAUUGAGGUAGCACAGAUAUCUCAAGUUAAGCUCCAUGUUCUAAUUAACAUAGUGAUCUUGUCAUGAACAAUAAUUAAAACAACAGUAUACUUGGAACAUGAUCAUAAUGUAAUAUUAAUCCCAAAACCAGGUAGAGCAAUAGCAAAACUACCCAAAAGUUCAGUGGUAAACAAGGUGUGGGAUAAACAAGUCUAGGGAAACCUAUUAGGUCCCAUCAGAUUAACCUGAGCAUGUCAUAGUGAUUAACAUUAACAUUAUUGGGUAAAGAAAAGUGAUCAAGGGCACAACUUCCCUUAGACUUGAGGUUCCGGGUACCAAGUUAGUCUUCAGAUUCUCGUGACCUCACUGCUCAUCGUAGCCAUACAAACAAACAUGGUAUAGGCAAAAUUAACAUCACACCAAACAUAAGAGCAAACUGCAUAAUAAUGUUCUACGUAUCGUAACGAGAUCAUAGGCUCAAGAACCACUAAAUUCGGAGUUACGGUUAAGAAGAUAUGAUUUUCUAAAGUUGUAGAUGAAAGGGAAUUAGGCUUACACCUAUUUCCUAAUUGAUUUUGGUGGUUGAAUUGUCCAACACAAAUAAUUGGACUAACUAGUUUGCUCUAGUCUAUAAGUUCUACAGGUGCCAAAGGUUCACACUAAGCCAAUAAAAAGACCAAGAAAAGGGUUCAACAAAGAGAGCAAGGGAUAACCGAAGUGUGCCCUGGUCUGGCGCACCGGACUGUCCGGUGUGCCACCAGACAAUGUCCGGUGCCCCAGGGGACUCCAGACCAAACUCUUCACCUUUAGGAAUUCUCAGAGGCGCUUCGCUAUAAUUCACCGGACUGUCCGGUGCACCACCGGACAGUGUCCGGUGCUCCAGAAGACAGCGACUCUGAACUCGCCAGCUUCGGGAAUCCGCUCCGCUAUAAUUCACCGGACAUGUCCGGUGCACACCGGACUGUCCGGUGAGCCAGCGGAGCAACGGCUAUUCCGCGCCAACGGUCACCUGCUACAACAUUAAAUGUGCGCCUGCGCGUGCAGAGGAGCAGUGCACGCGCGGGUGGCACACCAGACAGUCUACAGGACUUGUCCGGUGCGCCACCGGACAGCCAGGCGAGCCCACAAGUCAGAGCUCCAACGGUCGGAACCCAACGGCCUGGUGACGUGGCUGGCGGACCGGACUGUCUGGUGCGCCAUGCGACAGCAGCCUCCACCAAACGGCUAGUUUGGUGGUUGGGGUUAUAAAUACCCCCAACCACCCACAUUCAAGUCAUCCAAGUUUUCCCACUUCAACUACUGACAAGAGCUCUAGCAUUCAAUUCUAGACACACCCAAGUGAUCAAAUCCUCUCCCAAUUCCACACAACACUUUAGUGAUUAGUGAGAGAGAUUUGCUUGUGUUCUUUCGAGCUCUUGCGCUUGGAUUGCUUCUUUCUUUUAUUCUUUCUUGUGAACAACUCAAUUGUAACCGAGGCAAGAGGCACCAAUUGUGUGGUGGCCCUUGCGGGGAAGUUUGUUCCCGUUUGAUUGAGAAGAAAAAGCUCACUCGGUCCGAGGGAUCGUUUGCGAGAGGGAAAGGGUUGAAAAAGACCCGGUCUUUGUGACCACCUCAACGGGGAGUAGGUUUGCGAGAACCGAACCUCGGUAAAACAAAUCCGCGUGUUACACUCUUUAUUCGCUUGCGAUUUGUUUUGCACCCUCUCUCGCGGACUCGAUUAUAUUUCUAACGCUAACCCGGCUUGUAGUUGUGAUUAACUUUGUAAAUUUCAGUUUCGCCCUAUUCACCCCCCUCUAGGCGACUUUCAGUAGAUGAUUAAACAAUAAAACCGUGUUUAUGUUGAUUAAUAUAAAUUAGAUGAGAAAAAUUACUUCAACUUAUACAUUUAAUUCAUCUCCUCAUCUAAGUUAUAUCUUAACUAUGAGUUGGUUUAUAAUUAUUACCUUAGAGAGCUUAAUUGGCUAAACAUAGGCUAAGAGUUAUCCAAUUAUAAAAGUUUGUUACAUAAUACAACUAAUGUUAUUACUGUAUGGAAAAACAUUAUUAUGAGACCAACACAAUUUGAACGGGUGGGAUCGGAGUUAAAAUGAGAAAGUUAUGGAAUUUACAAGUUUCUAGAUAUUUGUUAUUGAUUUUAUACCCUAAAACCAGUACUAGGGGUGUUUUUGCAACUUCCAGGGACUCCUACGUAAAAGUUUUACACUGCACACGACCCUAGGUUAUUUUUGUACCAGAUCAAGGUCUUCUUAACAAAACCAAUCGGUCGAUCGCACAAGAUUCAACCAGGACCAUCCAUUUAAGGAUCUAGGCCCAGAUUAGAUCAGGCCCCCAUCGAACCGGUAUGCAAUAUGGACCACCGGAUCACGAUCCCCUAGUCUAGAUCCAAAAUGCCCGAGAUCCAUCUUGAUCCAUCCGAUCGACGCCCAACCGCCCAGAUCCAAACACCCAAAAGGGCAUUUCUCGUUCUAAUCUCCACCACACGAUUCCAAAUUGGCGAUCCGGAUUUGAUCUUGCAAAAGGAUACGCUUCAUCAAAUCGCAUUCGUUCACACAGGAUCGGACGACACUGGGUUCCCCUCCUACUUCACUGGCCACGCGCGGCAGGCGCCCAAGCACAUACGGCGGCGCCAUGGCCGGAAACCACAAACUCUCUGCUCCCCUGCUCAAACCCCGAUAUGGAACGUGCUACCCACUAUGGAGAAGAUGGCAAAGCUGAAGGAAGGGCUCUCACCAAUAUCCCGGGCGCGGAGAUCCCCACCCACGCAGAGUUGCAGCGCCGCGGCGGCACGACACCAAUCGAGCGAUUCCCCCCGCACCCAACCACCCCAGCAAUACAAGGAAGCCCCAGAACCGCGUGGUGUACACUGGUGAAGGUCCAUUACCUGCCCCAGACUCCGAACGAUGGCGCUCUCCAAGCCUACCCACGGUGGUGAUGCUUCUCCCUCGGCAUGCUCCGUGAUUCCACCGAUGCCCUCGGAUUUGUGUGCUCCAAUCAUUUGGGUGGCCGUGGAGGAGGCGGAGGGGUCAUAUAUAUACUUUAGGAGGACGUGCAGACGCCAGGUCCACAGGAAUCGCGCGGCG
Molecule: long non-coding RNA, 3945 nt
Filed under: Zea mays
Lineage: Eukaryota; Viridiplantae; Streptophyta; Magnoliopsida; Poales; Poaceae
Description: long non-coding RNA (ZMAY_LNC004261)
Source: RNAcentral